This 76-nucleotide transfer RNA is filed under the name Campylobacterales bacterium. RNAcentral describes it as "tRNA-His". It matches the Rfam family "tRNA". From Rfam's summary of the family: Transfer RNA (tRNA) molecules are approximately 80 nucleotides in length. RNAcentral also lists the same sequence under 1 other name. The record is from RNAcentral. Lineage: Bacteria; Pseudomonadati; Campylobacterota; Epsilonproteobacteria; Campylobacterales.
GUGGGUGUAGCUCAGUUGGUAGAGCACCAGUUUGUGGCACUGGUGGUCGCGGGUUCGAUCCCCGUCGCCCACCCCA